Pipra filicauda (Wire-tailed manakin) is the source of this 280-nucleotide long non-coding RNA. RefSeq lists it as uncharacterized. The record is from RefSeq and is a predicted model, not a curated record. The transcript is spliced from 3 exons. Lineage: Eukaryota; Metazoa; Chordata; Aves; Passeriformes; Pipridae.
ACAAUUCCAUUUUGAACUCCUGACUUAGACAAAUACACUGUGUUCGUAAGUCAGACCACACUAUCAAAUUGAGAACCUUCCCAGCACUUCAGCUGAAGGCAGAAGGAGUUUUUUGGGAACAAAGAGAAAGAAGGGUAAUUUUCUGUAACUGGAAUGGAAGCAGAGUGCUGGACUUCACUCAACAUUUUCAGCAGUACGUUUCCUGACAAAGACAACCACAAGACUACAUUUAGUUCAGCCUUCACAGCAUUUAUUUCCCACUUUACACAAAUGUCAAGAG